UACAGAGGGGGCAAGCGUUGUUCGGAAUUACUGGGCGUAAAGGGCGCGUAGGCGGCCUUCUAAGUCGAACGUGAAAUCCCUGGGCUCAACCCAGGAACUGCGUCCGAUACUGGAAGGCUUGAAUCCGGGAGAGGGAUGCGGAAUUCCAGGUGUAGCGGUGAAAUGCGUAGAUAUCUGGAGGAACACCGGUGGCGAAGGCGGCAUCCUGGACCGGUAUUGACGCUGAGGCGCGAAAGCCAGGGGAGCAAACGGA
This 253-nucleotide ribosomal RNA is filed under the name uncultured bacterium. RNAcentral describes it as "partial 16S ribosomal RNA". It matches the Rfam family "Bacterial small subunit ribosomal RNA", at positions 524 to 776 of the family's 1533-position model. The record is from RNAcentral.